AGAGCGAUCCCCCUUCGUGGACUCCGAGGGGAUGCAGCAGCAAUUCAUGUUUUGAAGUGCUUUAAAAGGUUCAAAACGUGAGGCGCUGCUAUACCCCCUCGCGAGGAAGUUGGAAGGUGGGGUUCUGCUGGACGCGUGUUCCUGCGAGGCGACCGCUCCCAAGGCCAGCUCAACAGCAGCUCUGUACCGAUCCCCCUCGAGCCAGAAGGAGGCCCGGUGACACACAGCCCUCCGGUAGGACCUGGCUUGCGCCAUCCGGCCCCCUCCAUUGGGCGCCUGCAUGACCCAGGUGAGAGACCCGACGGGUUGGGGACCGCGAGGGGCGGAGGGCGAGGAAAAAGUGACCUUGACUAAGGGGCUUUACCUUCCAGAAGCGCAGUGGCCCUUUGCCCAGGGCCCCCAAGAGGCAUCAAGAUUGAGGGCGACCACACAGGCCUCUGACUGCGUGGUGCCCUUUCUGACUUAAAAUAGUCAUCUUGCACCAUUCACACGGUCGAAGUUGCAUUGUGCCUAGAUUUUCCUUCAAGGACAAAAAUGUGAAUAAAGCAAUAUUUCAGCCAAA
This is a long non-coding RNA of Hipposideros armiger (great roundleaf bat), 562 nucleotides long. RefSeq lists it as uncharacterized. The record is from RefSeq and is a predicted model, not a curated record. NCBI's taxonomy places the organism in Eukaryota, Metazoa, Chordata, Mammalia, Chiroptera, Hipposideridae. The transcript is spliced from 2 exons.